RNAcentral lists this transfer RNA (71 nucleotides) under Loxodonta africana (African savanna elephant). It matches the Rfam family "tRNA". From Rfam's summary of the family: Transfer RNA (tRNA) molecules are approximately 80 nucleotides in length. Their secondary structure includes four short double-helical elements and three loops (D, anti-codon, and T loops). The record is from Rfam by way of RNAcentral. Lineage: Eukaryota; Metazoa; Chordata; Mammalia; Proboscidea; Elephantidae.
GCAUUGGUGGUUCAGUGGCAAAAGUCUCGCCUUCCACGCGGGAGACCCGGGUUUGAUUCCCAGCAAACGCG